AUACGGAGGGAGCAAGCGUUGUUCGGAAUCACUGGGCGUAAAGCGAGUGUAGGUUGUCAGGUAAGUAGGAUGUGAAAGCCCGGGGCUCAACCCCGGAAUUGCAUUCUAAACUGCCUGGCUAGAGUCCCGGAGAGGGAGGUGGAAUUCCGAGUGUAGAGGUGAAAUUCGUAGAUAUUCGGAGGAACACCAGAGGCGAAGGCGACCUCCUGGACGGUGACUGACACUGAGACUCGAAAGCGUGGGGAGCAAACAGGAUUAGAAACCCUGGUAGUCC
This 274-nucleotide ribosomal RNA is filed under the name uncultured bacterium. Its description in RNAcentral is "partial 16S ribosomal RNA". It matches the Rfam family "Bacterial small subunit ribosomal RNA", at positions 523 to 796 of the family's 1533-position model. The record is from RNAcentral.